GCAACAAUGGUUUAAAUGGUAAAACAUAGGCAAAUCUAAAAGUUGCCUAUAUGUAAGUUCAAAUCUUACUUGUUGAG
RNAcentral lists this transfer RNA (77 nucleotides) under Coelastrum sp. F187. Its description in RNAcentral is "tRNA-Leu". It matches the Rfam family "tRNA". From Rfam's summary of the family: Transfer RNA (tRNA) molecules are approximately 80 nucleotides in length. Their secondary structure includes four short double-helical elements and three loops (D, anti-codon, and T loops). The record is from RNAcentral. Lineage: Eukaryota; Viridiplantae; Chlorophyta; Chlorophyceae; Sphaeropleales; Scenedesmaceae.